Molecule: ribosomal RNA, 255 nt
Filed under: uncultured bacterium
Lineage: Bacteria
Description: partial 16S ribosomal RNA
Rfam family: Bacterial small subunit ribosomal RNA
Source: RNAcentral
UACGGGGGGAGCAAGCGUUGUUCGGAUUUACUGGGCGUAAAGGGCGGGUAGGCGGCCACCGCAAGUCAGUUGUGAAAUCUCUGGGCUUAACCCAGAAAGGUCAACUGAUACUGCGGGGCUAGAGUGCAGAAGGGGCAACUGGAAUUCUCGGUGUAGCGGUGAAAUGCGUAGAUAUCGAGAGGAACACCUGAGGUGAAGACGGGUUGCUGGGCCGACACUGACGCUGACAGCGCGAAAGCCAGGGGAGCAAACGGG